GAAAAAAUUGUGGUAUCUGAUGGUGAUGGAAUAUUAUUGUGAUGAAAGGAAUAAUGAACUGGGGGAAUUCCAGAACCCCACGCCCAGGAUCCAAGCUGCAGUCUCCAGCAAAACUCCCUAGAAGACUCUCCCCAGUUAAACUACUAUCUCAAGAAGACAAUCUCUUCAGACUAUUUUCUCAAAGACCAUCUGCUCUGAGGGAGUUCAGGUUUGCUUUUAAGCUCUGCCCCCAAAUAAAGACUUUCAUCCGGAGCUGGCAUUCUUGUUCUGAUGAUUACAAUAGCAAGGCGGAGAGGUGGGACUGAAUCUGUUGUACAAACUAACAACCUAAUGAAGAUCUAAAUUUGCUCGUUAUCCCUUGAAACAGCAGUUAGGAGGUACAGAGGGGAAGGGAUAUUGUUGUUCUUUUGCUCACUCGGCAAGGAGAAGGAAGCAAUUUAAAUAAAAUAUCUGACAAAUAAACUGGUGGGAAUUUG
RNAcentral lists this long non-coding RNA (476 nucleotides) under Monodelphis domestica (gray short-tailed opossum). RNAcentral's name for it is "lncRNA (ENSMODG00000035018.2)". The record is from RNAcentral. Lineage: Eukaryota; Metazoa; Chordata; Mammalia; Didelphimorphia; Didelphidae.